GAAACCUCAUCUUGCUCGCCGCCAUCCGGGCGCCAGGGCAGUGUUUUUUGUAAAACACGAACAGUUCCGCUCGGAUGAGGAGAGAGU
RNAcentral lists this non-coding RNA (87 nucleotides) under unclassified sequences. RNAcentral's name for it is "RAGATH-10 RNA". It matches the Rfam family "RAGATH-10 RNA". Rfam says of the family: RNA motif Associated with Genes Associated with Twister and Hammerhead ribozymes (RAGATH). The record is from Rfam by way of RNAcentral.